Non-coding RNA from Macrolepiota fuliginosa MF-IS2, 100 nucleotides. Lineage: Eukaryota; Fungi; Basidiomycota; Agaricomycetes; Agaricales; Agaricaceae. The record is from the annotation of a GenBank genome assembly.
AUGACCUUAGCUCAGUUGGAAGAGCGCGAGACUGCAAUGGAUAACCACGUCCGAUUUCUUCGGGAUCUUGAGGUCGCUUGUUCGAGGCAAGCAGGUCGGA